RNAcentral lists this ribosomal RNA (486 nucleotides) under uncultured bacterium. RNAcentral's name for it is "bacterial SSU rRNA". It matches the Rfam family "Bacterial small subunit ribosomal RNA", at positions 27 to 512 of the family's 1533-position model. The record is from RNAcentral.
GAUGAAACGCUGGCGGCGUGCUUAACACAUGCAAGUCGAACGGGAAUUACUUUAUUGAAACUUCGGUCGAUUUAAUUUAAUUCCAGUGGCGGACGGAUGAGUAACGCGUGGGUAACCUGCCUUAUACAGGGGGAUAACAACCAGAAAUGGUUGCUAAUACCGCAUAAGCGCACAGGACCGCAUGGUCCGGUGUGAAAAACUCCGGUGGUAUAAGAUGGACCCCGCGUUGGAUUAGCUGGUUGGCAGGGUAACGGCCUACCAAGGCGACGAUCCAUAGCCGGCCUGAGAGGGUGAACGGCCACAUUGGGACUGAGACACGGCCCAGACUCCUACGGGAGGCAGCAGUGGGGAAUAUUGCACAAUGGGGGAAACCCUGAUGCAGCGACGCCGCGUGAAGGAAGAAGUAUCUCGGUAAUGUAAACUUCUAUCAGCAGGGAAGAUAGUGACGGUACCUGACUAAGAAGCCCCGGCUAACUACGUGCCAGC